GUCCCAGUUCGGAUUGUAGUCUGCAACCCGACUACAUGAAGCUGGAAUCGCUAGUAAUCGCAGGUCAGCAUACUGCGGUGAAUACGUUCCCGGGUCUUGUACACACCGCCCGUCACACCAUGGGAGCCGGAAAUGCCCGAAGCCAGUGACCCAACCUUAGGGAGGGAGCUGUCGAAGGUGGAGCCGGUAACUGGGGUGAAGUCGUAACAAGGUAUC
RNAcentral lists this ribosomal RNA (216 nucleotides) under uncultured bacterium. RNAcentral's name for it is "partial 16S ribosomal RNA". It matches the Rfam family "Bacterial small subunit ribosomal RNA", at positions 1285 to 1500 of the family's 1533-position model. The record is from RNAcentral.